This 464-nucleotide ribosomal RNA is filed under the name uncultured bacterium. Its description in RNAcentral is "bacterial SSU rRNA". It matches the Rfam family "Bacterial small subunit ribosomal RNA", at positions 28 to 507 of the family's 1533-position model. The record is from RNAcentral.
GACGAACGCUGGCGGCGUGCCUAACACAUGCAAGUCGAGCGAGGAGAGUUCCUUCGGGAACAAACCUAGCGGCGGACGGGUGAGUAACACGUGGGCAACCUGCCUUGUAGGGGGGAAUAGCCUUCCGAAAGGAAGAUUAAUACCGCAUAACAUUACAGUUUCGCAUGAAACAGUAAUUAAAGGAGUAAUCCGCUACAAGAUGGGCCCGCGGCGCAUUAGCUAGUUGGUGAGGUAACGGCUCACCAAGGCGACGAUGCGUAGCCGACCUGAGAGGGUGAUCGGCCACAUUGGGACUGAGACACGGCCCAGACUCCUACGGGAGGCAGCAGUGGGGAAUAUUGCACAAUGGGGGAAACCCUGAUGCAGCAACGCCGCGUGAGUGAUGAAGGUUUUCGGAUCGUAAAGCUCUGUCUUCGGGGACGAUAAUGACAGUACCCGAGGAGGAAGCCACGGCUAACUACGUG